This 474-nucleotide ribosomal RNA is filed under the name uncultured bacterium. RNAcentral describes it as "bacterial SSU rRNA". It matches the Rfam family "Bacterial small subunit ribosomal RNA", at positions 27 to 518 of the family's 1533-position model. The record is from RNAcentral.
GGACGAACGCUGGCGGCAUGCCUAACACAUGCAAGUCGAACGGAGUUAGAAGCUUGCUUUAAACUAGUGGCGGACGGGUGAGUAACGCGUGAGCAACUUGCCUCUCGGUGGGGAAUAAUGUACUGAAAAAGGACACUAAUACCGCAUAAAGUGCAGAGAUCGCAUGGUCAUUGCACCAAAGAUUUAUCGCCGAGAGAUGGGCUCGCGUCCGAUUAGCCAGUUGGUGGGGUAACGGCCUACCAAAGCGACGAUCGGUAGCCGGACUGAGAGGUUGAACGGCCACAUUGGGACUGAGACACGGCCCAGACUCCUACGGGAGGCAGCAGUGGGGGAUAUUGCGCAAUGGGGGAAACCCUGAACCGCAGCAAUGCCGCGUGAAUGAUGAAGGUCUUCGGAUUGUAAAAUUCUUUUGUCAGGGACGAAAAUGACGGUACCUGACGAAUAAGCUCCGGCUAACUACGUGCCAGCCGCCGC